Molecule: ribosomal RNA, 731 nt
Filed under: uncultured bacterium
Lineage: Bacteria
Description: bacterial SSU rRNA
Rfam family: Bacterial small subunit ribosomal RNA
Source: RNAcentral
AACAGGAUUAGAUACCCUGGUAGUCCAUGCCGUAAACGUUGGGAACUAGGUGUGGGUCUCAUUCCACGAGAUCCGUGCCGCAGCUAACGCAUUAAGUUCCCCGCCUGGGGAGUACGGCCGCAAGGCUAAAACUCAAAGGAAUUGACGGGGGCCCGCACAAGCGGCGGAGCAUGCGGAUUAAUUCGAUGCAACGCGAAGAACCUUACCAAGGCUUGACAUACACCGGAAACACUCAGAGAUGGGUGCCCCGCAAGGUCGGUGUACAGGUGGUGCAUGGUUGUCGUCAGCUCGUGUCGUGAGAUGUUGGGUUAAGUCCCGCAACGAGCGCAACCCUCGUUCUAUGUUGCCAGCGGAUAAUGCCGGGGACUCAUAGGAGACUGCCGGGGUCAACUCGGAGGAAGGUGGGGAUGACGUCAAAUCAUCAUGCCCCUUAUGUCUUGGGCUUCACGCAUGCUACAAUGGCCGGUACAAAGGGCUGCGAUACCGCAAGGUGGAGCGAAUCCCAAAAAACCGGUCUCAGUUCGGAUUGGGGUCUGCAACUCGACCCCAUGAAGUCGGAGUCGCUAGUAAUCGCAGAUCAGCAACGCUGCGGUGAAUACGUUCCCGGGCCUUGUACACACCGCCCGUCAAGUCACGAAAGUCGGUAACACCCGAAGCCGGUGGCCCAACCUUUUGGAGGGAGCCGUCGAAGGUGGGACUGGCGAUUGGGACUAAGUCGUAACAAGGUAACC